GUUUACCCAAAUUCACUAUUUCCGUUGAUAGUUUCCUCUCCCCACCCCCAUCUCUUUUAAAAGCCUGGGUCUUCAGCUCAGCUUUCUCUGGCUUUCCUUUUACACCUGAACAUCCCUCAGUCCCAGAGAGAAUCCAAGUCCUGUGGGAUCACCAUCAGCCUGCAGGUUCAGCUAGAACUCGCCCCUGCUUAGCCAAGUCUUCUGGAUCCAUCUCUGACUACUUGGUCUGCCGCCACCACUCACAGAGUACCAAAACAACACCUGCUAACUGCCUUCCCAUGAUGUGGUCAUCAGUUAGCUAUUUACCAACAUAACUCUCUCAGGCACUAAGUUGGAGUGAUUUACCGAAAACUUCAGCUGCAGCGAGAUAUCGGAACGCCACCCAGCUUCAACCCAGUUCCUCGUGUAAAGAGCUAGCACCAGAUUAAAAGCAAGCACAGGCACCACGCCUAUAAAGCGGUGAAAGGCACACAGGAAAACCAAGUUCAGAUGCACAGGAAAACAGAUCUUCAGGUGAAUGGGUCACAAACCCCACAUUCUGUAUUGGAGUGCAGCUGUGUCGCCCAGAGAAGAAAGCAAGUGCAAUUAACUGCAGCUCGUUCUAGCACCGAAAGGCGAGAUAAAGUAUGGGUAUUCCUCCGGUGCAUGAACUUGUUUCUGAGAUAGGGUCUCAUGGAGCCUUUUCUGGUCUCAGAAUCAUUGCGUAGGUGAUGCCAGGCUUGAACUUCUGACUCUCAUGCCUCUCUAUCCCAAGUACGCCAACCCCUCCAGACACCCCUCCUAAACUGCUCCACCUCUUGGGCUCUCGUGUUUUCUGUUGUCCCCUCUCUCUUGCUCCUCUCUCUUGGCCUCCUUUGUGUGCACUCUGUCUUCUCUUGCUCUCUGCCAUCCCUUCCUCUGGUCCAAUCCACAGGCAAUGUCCAGUAUACUACUUUCUUUCUCUGCCCUGGACACUUCCAGAUGCCUCUGGCUGUACUUCCUCCCAUAUCUACACACAAACACACAUACUAAAACAAAAACAACAAAAACAAACAAACAACCAAACCAAACAACCAGCCAAACAACCAGGCAAGCAAACAAAAAC
Long non-coding RNA from Apodemus sylvaticus (European woodmouse), 1084 nucleotides. RefSeq lists it as uncharacterized. The transcript is spliced from 3 exons. The record is from RefSeq and is a predicted model, not a curated record. Lineage: Eukaryota; Metazoa; Chordata; Mammalia; Rodentia; Muridae.